GUGGGGAAUCUUGCGCAAUGGGCGAAAGCCUGACGCAGCCAUGCCGCGUGAAUGAUGAAGGUCUUAGGAUUGUAAAAUUCUUUCACCGGGGACGAUAAUGACGGUACCCGGAGAAGAAGCUCCGGCUAACUUCGUGCCAGCAGCCGCGGUAAUACGAAGGGGGCUAGCGUUGCUCGGAAUUACUGGGCGUAAAGGGCGCGUAGGCGGACAGCUUAGUCAGAGGUGAAAGCCCAGGGCUCAACCUCGGAACUGCCUUUGAUACUGGGUGUCUUGAGUAUGAGAGAGGUGUGUGGAACUCCGAGUGUAGAGGUGAAAUUCGUAGAUAUUCGGAAGAACACCAGUGGCGAAGGCGACUCACUGGCCCGUUACUGACGCUGAGGCGCGAAAGCGUGGGGAUCGAACAGGAUUAGAAACCCGAGUAGUCC
Molecule: ribosomal RNA, 425 nt
Filed under: uncultured bacterium
Lineage: Bacteria
Description: partial 16S ribosomal RNA
Rfam family: Bacterial small subunit ribosomal RNA
Source: RNAcentral